Molecule: ribosomal RNA, 549 nt
Filed under: uncultured bacterium
Lineage: Bacteria
Description: bacterial SSU rRNA
Rfam family: Bacterial small subunit ribosomal RNA
Source: RNAcentral
UGGGGAAUAUUGCGCAAUGGGGGGAACCCUGACGCAGCCAUGCCGCGUGAAUGAAGAAGGCCUUCGGGUUGUAAAGUUCUUUCGGUAUUGAGGAAGGUUGAUGUGUUAAUAGCACAUCAAAUUGACGUUACCCACAGAAUAAGCACCGGCUAACUCUGUGCCAGCAGCCGCGGUAAUACAGAGGGUGCAAGCGUUAAUCGGAAUUACUGGGCGUAAAGCGCGCGUAGGUGGUUAUUUAAGUCAGAUGUGAAAGCCCCGGGCUUAACCUGGGAACUGCAUCUGAUACUGGAUAACUAGAGUAGGUGAGAGGGGAGUAGAAUUCCAGGUGUAGCGGUGAAAUGCGUAGAGAUCUGGAGGAAUACCGAUGGCGAAGGCAGCUCCCUGGCAUCAUACUGACACUGAGGUGCGAAAGCGUGGGUAGCAAACAGGAUUAGAUACCCUGGUAGUCCACGCCGUAAACGAUGUCUACCAGUCGUUGGGUCUUUUAAAGACUUAGUGACGCAGUUAACGCAAUAAGUAGACCGCCUGGGGAGUACGGCCGCAAGGUUA